GAUGAACGCUGGCGGCGUGCCUAAUACAUGCAAGUCGAGCGAACGGACGAGAAGCUUGCUUCUCUGAUGUUAGCGGCGGACGGGUGAGUAACACGUGGAUAACCUACCUAUAAGACUGGGAUAACUUCGGGAAACCGGAGCUAAUACCGGAUAAUAUUUUGAACCGCAUGGUUCAAAAGUGAAAGACGGUCUUGCUGUCACUUAUAGAUGGAUCAGCGCUGCAUUAGCUAGUUGGUAAGGUAACGGCUUACCAAGGCAACGACGCAUAGCCGACCUGAGAGGGUGAUCGGCCACACUGGAACUGAGACACGGUCCAGACUCCUACGGGAGGCAGCAGUAGGGAAUCUUCCGCAAUGGGCGAAAGCCUGACGGAGCAACGCCGCGUGAGUGAUGAAGGUCUUCGGAUCGUAAAACUCUGUUAUUAGGGAAGAACAUAUGUGUAAGUAACUGUGCACAUCUUGACGGUACCUAAUCAGAAAGCCACGGCUAACUACGUG
Molecule: ribosomal RNA, 497 nt
Filed under: uncultured bacterium
Lineage: Bacteria
Description: partial 16S ribosomal RNA
Rfam family: Bacterial small subunit ribosomal RNA
Source: RNAcentral